GGGACACGUGGUAUCCUGUCUGAAUAUGGGGGGACCAUCCUCCAAGGCUAAAUACUCCUGACUGACCGAUAGUGAACCAGUACCGUGAGGGAAAGGCGAAAAGAACCCCGGCGAGGGGAGUGAAAAAGAACCUGAAACCGUGUACGUACAAGCAGUGGGAGCCUCUUUAUGGGGUGACUGCGUACCUUUUGUAUAAUGGGUCAGCGACUUAUAUUCUGUAGCAAGGUUAACCGAAUAGGGGAGCCGAAGGGAAACCGAGUCUUAACUGGGCGUUAAGUUGCAGGGUAUAGACCCGAAACCCGGUGAUCUAGCCAUGGGCAGGUUGAAGGUUGGGUAACACUAACUGGAGGACCGAACCGACUAAUGUUGAAAAAUUAGCGGAUGACUUGUGGCUGGGGGUGAAAGGCCAAUCAAACCGGGAGAUAGCUGGUUCUCCCCGAAAGCUAUUUAGGUAGCGCCUCGUGAACUCAUCUCCGGGGGUAGAGCACUGUUUCGGCAAGGGGGUCAUCCCGACUUACCAACCCGAUGCAAACUGC
Molecule: ribosomal RNA, 536 nt
Filed under: Escherichia coli
Lineage: Bacteria; Pseudomonadati; Pseudomonadota; Gammaproteobacteria; Enterobacterales; Enterobacteriaceae
Description: bacterial LSU rRNA
Rfam family: Bacterial large subunit ribosomal RNA
Source: RNAcentral